AGCCUUCGUUUAUACGCUUACCUAGCAACAUCUCAUCUAUGAAGCUCUGAGCUCUCUGGAGCCUUGGAAGGUGAGAGGAAGUUUCUCUUGCUUUUGCAGUUCUCCACAGCCUAGUCAGCUGGAAGCAGGGCCAUGUGUAGCCAGGCUGGAGACUGAACCUAAGAACAAAGCAGGACAAGAAGCAGUCUGCAAGCAGGAGUUUCCCACUGUGCUAACGUGUUUACUUUGUGGUACUGUAAUUUUCUAGCAGAUGAGCUGAUCCAAUUAAGCCAUUGCUAUUAAAUUAAAAAGCCAUGAUGAUCUGACUGCAUUUGGGAGGCAUAACAGCUAUGAUAUUUGACAUAUGGGGAUAUACACACCUUGGAAAUACAGUGCUUUAUGAUAAGUAGCAGUUAACAGUCAGGAUGCUCUCAUUGUGGGCAGAAGAAAGGCAACACCAAAAACAUCUCAGAUGUACUCAGAGCCGUGACACAAUCUUAAUGUCUUAUAAUGCACUGUGCAACUAUUACUUUGAGAUAAAAAAUGGUUCUAUAUUUCAUUUGUUAUUGAGCUCUUUGCUUUGACAAUGAAGUUCAGCCAUUGAGUGAUUCUACAAAGCUGCUGCACUUCUACAGCCAUCAAACAGAAGGUCAGUGAGAUGAAGACGUCACACUGUCUUUUUCACACUGGCAGAGGUCAAAACAGGACUUCAGGUGCGCUUCAUUUUUAAGAUUGGCUUUAAUUUUAAGUGUUCAGCUUCCCUUAUUCACAACAUGGGAGUUGUUUUAUAUCAGAACUCCUUAAAUCUCUAAUGCAGACACCAGCUGCCAUGUGAGGUACAGGCCAAAAAUUACAAUAAGAACUUAGUUAAUGGAUAAUUAAGAAUGGCACACAUAUUACAGAAAGUUCAAAUUUUCUUGUAAAAUUUUCUCAGUUUCUUUUCUUCUUUCCUCUUCCUUCUCAUCCUAAUGAUAAACUGCUUUGUGAUAAUCUGCUUCUGUUUUAUCACUCUCAGUGAGCAGUUAUGUGUUCUUUUCCUUUUGAUAUGUGGAGUUUUUAACCCUGCUUAGCCAAGCAACAGAGAAAUGUAUUUUGAACCUGAGUGCUUUCUCAUGUUUGCUUAUAAACCCAUUUUAUUUUACUUUAUCUAUUAUUUUUAAUAUCACCUUCUCAAUGUCUCUACACUUUAAUUGGUUCAAUAAAAGAGACUUUAUGGAUGCCAUAGAACAAGAAAGGUCACUUCUAAUAUACAUGAAGAGUACUACAAGUCUAAAUAAUAAAUGUUUUUACCCAUUUUUCCAGUUAGGAUCAAAGAAACCCUCCUUUCAGUUUCUUUCUACUUUCAACGGCAGUUUCAUAUUAUUUCUGCCUUCUAUCUAUUUUAUCAAAUGAUCAUUACAGCUGUCACAGGUGGUACUGCACUAAUCACGAUUAUUCAAAUGAGAGGAAAAAUAUUUUUGGUCUAAUAAGAAAACAAACAAACAAACAAAAGUAAAUAAUAUGAGAAGCAAUCCUGAUUCCCUUCCCAAAGAAAGCUUUACCUGCACUGCAUAAGCAAUGAGGCAGGUCAUUGUGUGCUUUCUUUAAUAUUUUUCUGAGGGAGGAUUUUCUGCCCAAAUGCUUAUUUCAUUUGAUAAAUAAAGUAGUGAAAAUUGGUUCUUGCUUUAAAAGGGAAGCUAUUUCUCUGAGACUGUUGCUCUCCUCUUGCUGGAGAGGGGCUCAGUAGACAUGAGGGUCAAUUAAUGGUAGAGGUAGAAGAGAAGCAGAAAUGCUGGUGAUUUACCUUGCCUUUUACUCAGGACCUUGCAGAAGAAGUUCCUCAAUGUUUUGAACUUGCCAUCUGAACCAUCUGAAGACACAGAUUGGUACACACAGAGGUACCUAAAAAAACCCACGUGAUUUUACAUACAAGCAUGAAAACAUAGGAAACAGCACCAAGAGAAACUGCUGAGGACCAUGGAUGGGAUGCUGCAGCACAACAUCACAGUGGGGAUCUCAUCCUGCAUUUCUUUCUGGCCAACUCUCUUUCAUCAGUGUGAAGUGGAAGUGAAGACAGCCAAAGUCUUGGGUCUCAUCUUGCUGCUCUCAGAUCCUUGGCCAAUGGCACUCUGGAUAGUUCCAUCUACAGCAAAUCUUACGGUGCAACACCCGCAGUUCAUGCACUGGUGUAGAACUUCCCAGUAUCUUUGAACCUCUGGGUGAGGCCAGUGGCAUCUGAAUGAGAAAUGGAAGCCUCAGAAUGACAUGGGUAUGGAAGACUCAGUUUGCAGAGUUAAGGUCACACAGUGUGUGAUUUCUCUUUUCCAAAUUCCUUAAUGUCAAUGUAUGAUAAAAUACACUUUUAGUUAAUAACCAUAGUUCAUAAAAAUUAACAUGAGACUCCUGCCACCCAUACUGGAAGCAGACUGAACAGGAAUCACAGCAUCCACCAAAUUCUGUUUGUUCAAUAAAACCAACGGCAAAAAAGAGCAAGGGAGGAGUAUGUUGACAAAAUGUGCAGUACACUAUAAAGUAUUUGACACUUCCUCAGACAUGCCAAAGGCAACUGGGCUCUGGAGUAUUUGGAAAGAAGGAGAAUGAAGUACUUUACUGUGUUAAUGCUAGGAGUUAUUGUAUUGUAUUGUAUUGUAUUCCACUACUGACUAAGGAAGAUGGUGGUAUCUAUUAAAGAUCUUUUUUUUUUUAAUGGCAAAACUUUUCCAAAAUCUCCAAAAGACCAUGGAAACCCCGGGGAAAAAACAGAUGGCUGGAAAAAAAACUAAAUUAAUGAUGAUAUUUACAAAUCAAGGAUAACAUAGAGGACACAGAAAAUGGUUAAUAUGCCAUCAGUAUAAGGCGAAACUGAAGAAUCUGGAUAACUAUUAUCCAUGAAAAGGAAUAAAAGAUACACAAUGAAAUGUAUAAAUGCAAAACAAUAUGGGCUUAUGGCAAAGUGAAACAAACCUAAUAUUAAAAAAUAAAUAAAUUUUUUGGUUGAUCAAGAUAGAUGGAAAGAUUUCUUUAAAACAUUUAGCUUCAUUCUGCAUUUAACCCUUAUUUAUAAAACUGUUUCUUAAAAUACCAUUGUUGAAUAUGUAAAAUGGGCUUAAGCACUGGCUAAAUAAUAGUCUCAAUGAAUAAAUGUGCAAUACUAAAUAACAAA
Long non-coding RNA from Gallus gallus (chicken), 3121 nucleotides. RefSeq lists it as uncharacterized. The record is from RefSeq and is a predicted model, not a curated record. The transcript is spliced from 2 exons. Lineage: Eukaryota; Metazoa; Chordata; Aves; Galliformes; Phasianidae.